This 470-nucleotide ribosomal RNA is filed under the name uncultured Lactococcus sp. Its description in RNAcentral is "bacterial SSU rRNA". It matches the Rfam family "Bacterial small subunit ribosomal RNA", at positions 910 to 1382 of the family's 1533-position model. The record is from RNAcentral. Lineage: Bacteria; Bacillati; Bacillota; Bacilli; Lactobacillales; Streptococcaceae.
UUGACGGGGCCCGCACAAGCGGUGGAGCAUGUGGUUUAAUUCGAAGCAACGCGAAGAACCUUACCAGGUCUUGACAUCCCCUGACAACCCGAGAGAUCGGGCGUUCCCCUUCGGGGGACAGGGUGACAGGUGGUGCAUGGUUGUCGUCAGCUCGUGUCGUGAGAUGUUGGGUUAAGUCCCGCAACGAGCGCAACCCUCGACCUUAGUUGCCAGCAUUCAGUUGGGCACUCUAGCGAGACUGCCGGUAAUAAACCGGAGGAAGUGGGAUGACGUCAAAUCAUCAUGCCCCUUAUGACCUGGGCUACACACGUGCUACAAUGGUUGGUACAACGAGUUGCGAGUCGGUGACGGCGAGCUAAUCUCUUAAAGCCAAUCUCAGUUCGGAUUGUAGGCUGCAACUCGCCUACAUGAAGUCGGAAUCGCUAGUAAUCGCGGAUCAGCACGCCGCGGUGAAUACGUUCCCGGGCCUU